AUUGAACGCUGGCGGCAUGCUUUACACAUGCAAGUCGAACGGCAGCAUGGGCUUCGGCCUGAUGGCGAGUGGCGAACGGGUGAGUAAUGCAUCGGAACGCGUCCUGUAAUGGGGGAUAACCUGGCGAAAGCCAGGCUAAUACCGCAUACGUCCUGAGGGAGAAAGCGGGGGAUCGUAAGACCUCGCGUUAUAGGAGCGGCCGAUGUCGGAUUAGCUAGUUGGUGGGGUAAAGGCCUACCAAGGCGACGAUCUGUAGCGGGUCUGAGAGGACGGCCCGCCACACUGGGACUGAGACACGGCCCAGACUCCUACGGGUGGCUG
This 321-nucleotide ribosomal RNA is filed under the name uncultured Pseudomonadota bacterium. RNAcentral's name for it is "bacterial SSU rRNA". It matches the Rfam family "Bacterial small subunit ribosomal RNA", at positions 30 to 351 of the family's 1533-position model. Lineage: Bacteria; Pseudomonadati; Pseudomonadota. The record is from RNAcentral.